GAUGAACGCUGGCGGCGUGCCUAAUACAUGCAAGUCGAGCGAACAGAUGAGGAGCUUGCUCCUCUGACGUUAGCGGCGGACGGGUGAGUAACACGUGGAUAACCUACCUAUAAGACUGGGAUAACUUCGGGAAACCGGAGCUAAUACCGGAUAAUAUAUUGAACCGCAUGGUUCAAUAGUGAAAGACGGUUUUGCUGUCACUUAUAGAUGGAUCCGCGCCGCAUUAGCUAGUUGGUAAGGUAACGGCUUACCAAGGCAACGAUGCGUAGCCGACCUGAGAGGGUGAUCCGCCACACUGGAACUGAGACACGGUCCAGACUCCUACGGGAGGCAGCAGUAGGGAAUCUUCCGCAAUGGGCGAAAGCCUGACGGAGCAACGCCGCGUGAGUGAUGAAGGUCUUCGGAUCGUAAAACUCUUUUAUUAGGGAAGAAAAAAUGUGUAAGUAACUAUGCCCGUCUUGACGGUACCUAAUCAGAAAGCCACGGCUAACUACGUG
This 497-nucleotide ribosomal RNA is filed under the name uncultured bacterium. RNAcentral's name for it is "partial 16S ribosomal RNA". It matches the Rfam family "Bacterial small subunit ribosomal RNA", at positions 28 to 507 of the family's 1533-position model. The record is from RNAcentral.